This 484-nucleotide ribosomal RNA is filed under the name uncultured bacterium. Its description in RNAcentral is "partial 16S ribosomal RNA". It matches the Rfam family "Bacterial small subunit ribosomal RNA", at positions 30 to 507 of the family's 1533-position model. The record is from RNAcentral.
AUUGAACGCUGGCGGCAGGCCUAACACAUGCAAGUCGAGCGGAUGAAGGGAGCUUGCUCCUGGAUUCAGCGGCGGACGGGUGAGUAAUGCCUAGGAAUCUGCCUGGUAGUGGGGGAUAACGUCCGGAAACGGGCGCUAAUACCGCAUACGUCCUGAGGGAGAAAUUGGGGGAUCUUCGGCCCUCACGCUAUCAGAUAAUCUUAGGUUGGAUUAGCAAGUUGGUGGGGUAAAGGCCUACCAAGGCGACGAUCCGUAACUGGUCUGAGAGGAUGAUCAGUCGCACUGGAACUGAGACACGGUCCAGACUCCUAAGGGAGGCAGCAGUGGGGAAUAUUGGACAAUGGGCGAAAGCCUGAUCCAGCCAUGCCGCGUGUGUGAAGAAGGUCUUCGGAUUGUAAAGCACUUUAAGUUGGGAGGAAGGGCAGUAAGUUAAUACCUUGCUGUUUUGACGUUACCAACAGAAUAAGCACCGGCUAACUUCGUG